AGCGUACACGGUGGAUGCCCUGGCAGUCAGAGGCGAUGAAGGACGUGCUAAUCUGCGAUAAGCGUCGGUAAGGUGAUAUGAACCGUUAUAACCGGCGAUUUCCGAAUGGGGAAACCCAGUGUGUUUCGACACACUAUCAUUAACUGAAUCCAUAGGUUAAUGAGGCGAACCGGGGGAACUGAAACAUCUAAGUACCCCGAGGAAAAGAAAUCAACCGAGAUUCCCCCAGUAGCGGCGAGCGAACGGGGAGCAGCCCAGAGCCUGAAUCAGUGUGUGUGUUAGUGGAAGUGUCUGGAAAGGCGCGCGAUACAGGGUGACAGCCCCGUACACAAAAAUGCACAUGCUGUGAGCUCGAUGAGUAGGGCGGGACACGUGGUAUCCUGUCUGAAUAUGGGGGGACCAUCCUCCAAGGCUAAAUACUCCUGACUGACCGAUAGUGAACCAGUACCGUGAGGGAAAGGCGAAAAGAACCCCGGCGAGGGGAGUGAAAAAGAACCUGAAACCGUGUACGUACAAGCAGUGGGAGCCCUGAUUUAUCAGGGUGACUGCGUACCUUUUGUAUAAUGGGUCAGCGACUUAUAUUCUGUAGCAAGGUUAACCGAAUAGGGGAGCCGGAGGGAAACCGAGUCUUAACUGGGCGUUAAGUUGCAGGGUAUAGACCCGAAACCCGGUGAUCUAGCCAUGGGCAGGUUGAAGGUUGGGUAACACUAACUGGAGGACCGAACCGACUAAUGUUGAAAAAUUAGCGGAUGACUUGUGGCUGGGGGUGAAAGGCCAAUCAAACCGGGAGAUAGCUGGUUCUCCCCGAAAGCUAUUUAGGUAGCGCCUCGUGAAUUCAUCUCCGGGGGUAGAGCACUGUUUCGGCAAGGGGGUCAUCCCGACUUACCAACCCGAUGCAAACUGCGAAUACCGGAGAAUGUUAUCACGGGAGACACACGGCGGGUGCUAACGUCCGUCGUGAAGAGGGAAACAACCCAGACCGCCAGCUAAGGUCCCAAAGUCAUGGUUAAGUGGGAAACGAUGUGGGAAGGCCCAGACAGCCAGGAUGUUGGCUUAGAAGCAGCCAUCAUUUAAAGAAAGCGUAAUAGCUCACUGGUCGAGUCGGCCUGCGCGGAAGAUGUAACGGGGCUAAACCAUGCACCGAAGCUGCGGCAGCGACACUGUGUGUUGUUGGGUAGGGGAGCGUUCUGUAAGCCUGUGAAGGUGUGCUGUGAGGCAUGCUGGAGGUAUCAGAAGUGCGAAUGCUGACAUAAGUAACGAUAAAGCGGGUGAAAAGCCCGCUCGCCGGAAGACCAAGGGUUCCUGUCCAACGUUAAUCGGGGCAGGGUGAGUCGACCCCUAAGGCGAGGCCGAAAGGCGUAGUCGAUGGGAAACAGGUUAAUAUUCCUGUACUUGGUGUUACUGCGAAGGGGGGACGGAGAAGGCUAUGUUGGCCGGGCGACGGUUGUCCCGGUUUAAGCGUGUAGGCUGGUUUUCCAGGCAAAUCCGGAGAAUCAAGGCUGAGGCGUGAUGACGAGGCACUACGGUGCUGAAGCAACAAAUGCCCUGCUUCCAGGAAAAGCCUCUAAGCAUCAGGUAACAUUAAAUCGUACCCCAAACCGACACAGGUGGUCAGGUAGAGAAUACCAAGGCGCUUGAGAGAACUCGGGUGAAGGAACUAGGCAAAAUGGUGCCGUAACUUCGGGAGAAGGCACGCUGAUAUGUAGGUGAAGCGACUUGCUCGUGGAGCUGAAAUCAGUCGAAGAUACCAGCUGGCUGCAACUGUUUAUUAAAAACACAGCACUGUGCAAACACGAAAGUGGACGUAUACGGUGUGACGCCUGCCCGGUGCCGGAAGGUUAAUUGAUGGGGUCAGCGCAAGCGAAGCUCUUGAUCGAAGCCCCGGUAAACGGCGGCCGUAACUAUAACGGUCCUAAGGUAGCGAAAUUCCUUGUCGGGUAAGUUCCGACCUGCACGAAUGGCGUAAUGAUGGCCAGGCUGUCUCCACCCGAGACUCAGUGAAAUUGAACUCGCUGUGAAGAUGCAGUGUACCCGCGGCAAGACGGAAAGACCCCGUGAACCUUUACUAUAGCUUGACACUGAACAUUGAGCCUUGAUGUGUAGGAUAGGUGGGAGGCUUUGAAGUGUGGACGCCAGUCUGCAUGGAGCCGACCUUGAAAUACCACCCUUUAAUGUUUGAUGUUCUAACGUGGACCCGUGAUCCGGGUUGCGGACAGUGUCUGGUGGGUAGUUUGACUGGGGCGGUCUCCUCCUAAAGAGUAACGGAGGAGCACGAAGGUUGGCUAAUCCUGGUCGGACAUCAGGAGGUUAGUGCAAUGGCAUAAGCCAGCUUGACUGCGAGCGUGACGGCGCGAGCAGGUGCGAAAGCAGGUCAUAGUGAUCCGGUGGUUCUGAAUGGAAGGGCCAUCGCUCAACGGAUAAAAGGUACUCCGGGGAUAACAGGCUGAUACCGCCCAAGAGUUCAUAUCGACGGCGGUGUUUGGCACCUCGAUGUCGGCUCAUCACAUCCUGGGGCUGAAGUAGGUCCCAAGGGUAUGGCUGUUCGCCAUUUAAAGUGGUACGCGAGCUGGGUUUAGAACGUCGUGAGACAGUUCGGUCCCUAUCUGCCGUGGGCGCUGGAGAACUGAGGGGGGCUGCUCCUAGUACGAGAGGACCGGAGUGGACGCAUCACUGGUGUUCGGGUUGUCAUGCCAAUGGCACUGCCCGGUAGCUAAAUGCGGAAGAGAUAAGUGCUGAAAGCAUCUAAGCACGAAACUUGCCCCGAGAUGAGUUCU
RNAcentral lists this ribosomal RNA (2774 nucleotides) under Escherichia albertii. Its description in RNAcentral is "bacterial LSU rRNA". It matches the Rfam family "Bacterial large subunit ribosomal RNA". The record is from RNAcentral. Lineage: Bacteria; Pseudomonadati; Pseudomonadota; Gammaproteobacteria; Enterobacterales; Enterobacteriaceae.